Long non-coding RNA from Hemibagrus wyckioides, 3055 nucleotides. RefSeq lists it as uncharacterized. The transcript is spliced from 3 exons. The record is from RefSeq and is a predicted model, not a curated record. Lineage: Eukaryota; Metazoa; Chordata; Actinopteri; Siluriformes; Bagridae.
GCUCGAAAUAAACGUGUUGUAUUUAAAGCAUCUUUUUUUCUUUCUUUUACCAUAUUUUGAGAAGUAUCAACAAAGUACAUUUAUUCAGUUUAGCGAGUGAUGAUUCCUCUUGCAAAUGUUCUCUUGGCUGUUUUUUUGCACUAUGUAAGGUUUUAUUAUGUCAAUAUAUCAUGUCAAUAUAUUCAGUUAGGGAUUCUACUAAACUGUGUGCUCUGGUGAGGCUUAAAUUAAAAAGAAAAGGGGGGGGGACUGUGUUAAGGUCAAGGAAUGCAUGUGUGUAUUUGGAUUGGCUAAAAACUCACUGCCCCUUCACAUCAUCAAAUCUGACAGCUCUAAUGUGAACAUACACACAUGUUAGCAGUUGCUUGCCAUUCCAGUAAUCUGUUGGGGUUUUUUUUUUUUUAUUUUAUUUAAGCAGCUAAUUAUUAUUUCAAAUAAUAAACUUGAGUAGCACUGAAUAAAGUAGUUAAAAAAGGGAAAGUGUACUGUGGGGCUCCAUGUUGUGCUACAAUUAAGAGAGCUGAGUGGCGCACGGAAAAUAAGAGAUGAAAGAAAAAAACAGAAUAUUGGGAUUAGAGUAGAAGGAUAAGGAGGAGGAGGAGGAAAGAGAGAGAGAGAGGGAGGGAACGAGGGAACUGGGCAGUUGGCCCAGGGUGAGAAGGUUCACAUGGUGCACUCUACCAUGCAACGGUGCUCAGCAUUCCCUCUCAUAACGACACACAUUCGCUGCUAGGAUAUCCUGGCAGGACUCACUCCAGUCUCAGAGCCAAUCAGAGAUUAGUCUCACUUUCGCAUAGUUUCCAGUCGGGCUUCAGAGCAAUAAUACAUCACUAUAUCUCAGAGGAGCUCCACUGCUCUUGCACUCUCUAGCAAACUCACAAGCAAGGUAAACUUUAAUCCCUGUUCCUCUACUGAUGCGUGUCUGUGUUACACAUCUGUGCAUUGUUCCUAACAGAGAGAUUUUUACAGCAGCAGCAGCAGCACUAAUCUGGCUCUGUAGCUGGCCUUGUCAACUUUGUCAAACAGAUCAAAAGCACAUGGAACAGAAAGACGUGGAAAAAACCCAAGACUCAUUUGCUGACAUUCGUUUCCUUCUGAAAGUUUAGUAUGUAUGCACAUCAAGCUCAGUGAGGAGGAGACUCCGUGCUUGUGCUGACUGCAGCAUGCACAGAGGGCACUGGCAGUUAUCCCUAAGCCAGUGGGUAGUGGGACCGCUGCCAGCGUCUGAUACCCAAAACAAGGCGCUUUUACUGGCUUGGAUGGACGAUUGGCUCCUUUCAGCACAUGCAGAGCCGCUCUGGAGGCACAGCGAGCCAGACUAGAGAACAUCCUGAUCCGAGGUGCAGCCUGUAAGCAGUGUGAUGUCGACUGUCUUCAUGGAAACAUAUAAAAAGGGUUAAGUGGUUACAUAAUUGCUUUACAGCCUUGUUUAUGAUACCAGCACAAAUUAACAACAUCUUUAUUACAUGAUGAUAAUCUCUUUAUUCACUGUAAACUGAAUUGAGCAUGGUAUGCAAUGGUAUGAUGUAAACGUUUAGAACGGUACGCAAAACCUACAUUGAUUUUCCCCAAAAGUUAAUGACCAAACAUUAUAACAGUGCUAUAAAAAGUACGUCACCCAUGACCGGUAACCUUACACAUACUAAUUGCGAAUCUUACACACACAAAAUGUGCUGUGUAAAAAGGUUUUUGGAACAGUAGUUCCUAGAAAUGUAAAAGCCUACAUGCACUAUAUGGCCAAGGAUUUGUUCAGCAGACCAUAACGCUUGUUGAAUGCAGCCCAUUAUGUUAUAAUAAUUUCCACUAUACUGGGAAGGCUUUCAGAUCUGAGGAACACGAGCAUUAGUGAGGCAGCGAUGAUGUUAGUCGGACGCUGAUGUCUAGCAAGAAGGUCGACGUUUCAGUCCAUCCUAAAGGUGGGGUUGAGGUCAGGGCUCUGUGAAGGCCACUCUUUUAUGACAACUAUGCAUACAUCAUGAAGACACUGAGUUACACAGAGAUCACUUAUCCUGUAUUAUUACUACGGACUACUGAAAACAUAUCUGUUUGGAAAUGUCUCCAUGUUCCUUUGGUGUGAUAAAAAUGUACCUUGGAUUUGCAAUAAAUAACAUAAAGUAGCCUCAAAAGAACAAUUAGGACCAUCAAUUCGAAAUUCCCAGCUACACCACUCAGAAGUCACACUAAUAAACAACAGAUCCGGCGUGCAUAAAGCUAUAUCACAUGCAUUACGUGUGCAGUGACACGGUGUGAGUUUAAGGGUCAUAGAGCACGCGCUGCAUAAUAAAGUUACGUAAGCGGCCACCACAUGACGUCAGCUCAUCACCGCACGCGCUCGCCGGCGGCAGAAGUAGGUGAAAGGUCGCGCAAUUCACCGGCUGUGUUUCCGGUUAUUUUCUGACCGGUUCCAGAUAGACGCUAUGUUAUCUGUAAGCAGAAGGCGCUUUUAAUCACGCAAUCUUUAACGCACAGCUGUAGUUAUACUCGAACGGACACAGAAUACAUGUAAGUGCCUUGUUAGUAGAAGUAGUCUCUACGCGAGCAUGCUAACAAACAAUAGCCGCAGCUAAGCCAGUGAGUUAGUGAGAGUAGGGUUGUUUGUUAUGAUGUCCUGUGCGCGUGCGGAAUUAAGGCGAGCACGUGUGAACGGAAAAAGAGGAAAAACAGUCUAAUGCACGAGGAGAUGGGAAGCUGAACUUACCGUGUGUAAAGGGAAAAGAAGCUUCUGUGAGUGUGAAUGCAGGAAGACGCACACCGGGAAGUGUGUGAAAGGUCGCUGUGCUUUGUGAAUCAAUACACACCCACUACACGGAAACUCCUUUUGCUUCAGGUUUCAUGUGCAGAUUAUAAAUAGCACCAAUAAACGAUAUGGAUCGUUUAAGUGAUAAAUUGAUAUCUUUGUGUCCUGAAAUGAUUUGUAUUUAUAUUUAUGAGGUUCAUUCUCUGUCAAAUAACUGAUUCCUUACUGCUUUCAAUGCCAAAGACAAAUAGACAGGGAUUGUUGUAUAUAAGGAAAUUCUUUGUGAAUGUUCUUUGUUUGUUUGUUUGUUUGUUGGGG